CCUACGGGGGGCAGCAGUGGGGAAUUUUGCGCAAUGGGCGAAAGCCUGACGCAGCAACGCCGCGUGGAGGAUGAAGGUUCUCUGAAUCGUAAACUCCUGUCGGCCGGGAAGAAUUGACGGAGCGCUAAUCAGCUCCGGCUUGACUGUACCGGCAAAGGAAGCCCCGGCUAACUCCGUGCCAGCAGCCGCGGUAAUACGGAGGGGGCAAGCGUUACUCGGAAUUAUUGGGCGUAAAGGGCGCGUAGGCGGUCCUGCGCGUCGGAGGUGAAAUCCCCGGGCU
Molecule: ribosomal RNA, 280 nt
Filed under: uncultured bacterium
Lineage: Bacteria
Description: partial 16S ribosomal RNA
Rfam family: Bacterial small subunit ribosomal RNA
Source: RNAcentral